Molecule: ribosomal RNA, 440 nt
Filed under: uncultured bacterium
Lineage: Bacteria
Description: partial 16S ribosomal RNA
Rfam family: Bacterial small subunit ribosomal RNA
Source: RNAcentral
CCUACGGGAGGCAGCAGUGAGGGAUAUUGGUCAAUGGGCGCAAGCCUGACCCAGCAACGCCGCGUGAGGGAAGACGGCUUUCGGAUUGUAAACCUCUGUUCUCUGUGAAGAUAGUGACGGUAGCAGAGGAGUAAGCUCCGGCUAACUACGUGCCAGCAGCCGCGGUAAUACGUAGGGGGCGAGCGUUAUCCGGAUUUACUGGGUGUAAAGGGUGCGUAGGCGGGUUGGCAAGUCAGUAGUGAAAUCCAUGGGCUUAACCCAUGAACUGCUAUUGAAACUGUCGAGCUUGAGUGAAGGAGAGGUAGGCGGAAUUCCCGGUGUAGCGGUGAAAUGCGUAGAGAUCCGGAGGAACACCAGUGGCGAAGGCGGCCUACUGGGCUAUAACUGACGCUGAGGCACGAAAGCGUGGGUAGCAAACAGGAUUAGAUACCCUUGUAGUC